UUUUCAACUCUUUUGGAAUAAUUUGGAAAGGAGAUUUAAGAGUUGUGAUGUGGAGAAUUAGGUUCCAUUCAAGCAGUGCUGUGAAAGAGUUGUUCAACAGUGGAACCAACUCCCACGAGAGGUGAUGGAGGUUUUUAAGCAGAGGUUGGAUGGCCGUGUCUCAUGUAUGAUCUAGUUGAGUUUCCUGCAUUGCAGGGGGUUGGACUAGAUGACCCCCAGGUCCCUUCCAACUCUACAACGAUAUGAUUCUAUGGUUCUAUACGUGUUUUGAAUAUCUAGUGGCACAUCCCUUCUGGGACAAUACCUGAGGAAGACUCUCAGACUACAUGGCUGGGGGAGACUUGAGGGUUUGAACACUCUUCUACAAAAAAGAAAAAGAAAACCCUCAACACCUGCUCCAUGGAUUGUAUCCAAUUUAUGUCAUACUCGGGACUUCCGUGGUGGCGCCAUUGGCAAUGGCGGACUCCCUCUGAUCUGGAGGGACUAGCUCCACGUGAAACGGGUCUUUUCUGCUACGGCGAAGCGGGGACCCUUUCAAAAAUCACAGGCGGAUGAAGCCUGUGACCGUGGGACUCGGCGGGCACCCUUAGCGCCCCCCCAACCCGCAAAGGAACCCACUAACGGGCUCCGAAGCGAAGAGGGGGAAGUGGCGCGGUGCUGUGAGUCAAUUGCUUUUUCCGUGGAGCGAAGCUGCAUAGCCGUUGCCGGAGAGCGCUGCCUUUUUCCUGGGACAAUUUGGCUUCUAAAAUAAUCACCCGUGAGUACUUAAAUUUUGGACAAUUGGACUUUAAAUAAGGACUUGCGAGCAGAAAGGAAUUGGACUUAAAAAUUUACUUCAAUUUGGCACUGAAACGGGAAGGUCUAAACAGGAAGUCAGCCUUCCAUUUCUUUGUAGACAGAUUAAAACAAAGACAAGGUAAACUAGAGCUCAGAAAAUCGCUUCUAAAAGAUUAACUUUCAUCAUUUAAAAUUGUUGAACCCCCCUUCGGAAGCAGGAGAAGAAGGGGAUCUUUUCGGACUGUUUAAACCUGCAGAAGUGAGUCUAAAGUAAAGUAACUUUCCACCGUCUUGAUCCUGGAGCGGGGUGUCAGGACUGACGUUUUUUGAAGCUCAUUGACCAGAGACAAACGUUUUUGACAGAUAGCUAAAAGAAGAGAAACAUAGUGAUUCCACUGUUCCCCUUCGCAUUUUAAAGGAACAAAUAUUGACAAAAUAUCUGAAAAAGGAAACUUUGUUGCUAGAUUUGUCCUUAAAAGAAAGAACAAAUAGAAGUUUUUCCCCCUAGAGGAGACUGUGAAACUGUAACCAAUUCCAGGGGCUUGCAGCUGUUACAGAUUACAAUCGUGGGAAUAGACUUCUGACCUUGAAGGACAAUGUAUUCAGAAGCUCUGUUGUGUGCUCUCUGUAAAACAAAUGCCCUACUGGAACAAUUAAAUGAGAAGACGGAUUUGAUGACUGAUGCGAUCAGAAUUUUUGAACAGGCAGUGGGAAACUAUAUGGAGCCCACCCAGGAAUUAAAGCAGGAGUGUGCCCCGACAGAACAGACGAGAGAAGAAGAUGUUGCUGAAUCUUGGGCGCCAGAGAUAGAGGGAGCUGUGGCACUGCAGGAACAUGAGCUUUUGGAUUUGACAAAUGAACUUGGAAAAAGCCAGAUUUGGAAAGAUAAAGUUUGGACUGGUUUGGAAAUGGGGGGUUGGAUAGACCCCCCCUAUGCAGGGAUGUUUGGACUUUUCAAGUCUGGCAAUGGGCCGUGAGAUGUUUGGGGCUGUGGGGGCUCUUAAUUUUGGAGGGAUUCUGAAACAUGUUUUUAAAUACCACAUGGAGUUUAGUCUGGACUAUGGAAAAGGGGCUGAUUUGUUGGAAAGGGUCAAAAACACUGCCAAGCUGGAGUUCCCACGAGUGAAAGGAGAAUAUGAAGAAGAGCCACGGAAGGGACAUGGAAGGGACUUAAGGGCCUCGGAUAUAAGGUUACCAGGUUAAUGCGCUAGAUCAAUGGGAUAAAAAGGACUGACAAAACCCGGGACCAGGAGGAAGGGACGCUGGAUGAAGAUUGGAUUGUUUUUAUUUCUUUUUUUAUUACUAGGAUUGUUUUAUAAAAUUGAUGAAUGUUAGAAAAAUGUUGGAACGAAAUUACUUGGCUUUAGCAAAAAUGUUUAAAGAAUUAGGUAAGAAUAUUAUGGUUAUGAGACGAUGGUAAAAAUAAGAUUUAAGUUUUAAGUUUUAAGGUUCUUUAUAAGAUAAGAUGAAAAUAGAUUAAGGUAAUGUAACGACAGAAUAUUAUGAUAUAUGGAAAGGAUUUGCUGCGACAAUUAACAACUAGGAUACAAAAAAGGGAGGAGGAGGAGGUCAAAGAAAGAAGGUAAUGAAAGUUGAGGAUUCGAGAAUGAUGGAUUUGUUUUUGUGUGUUUGUGGUGUAUUUUUGUUUUUUGAAUUUGUAUUGUUUGAUGUGGUUUGUUUUUUCUUUGUUUUUUUCUUUUUCUUUUUCUGCUUUGUUCUCUUCUGUAAUUCUAAAAAAUUUUCAAUAAAUAUCAUUUAAAAAAAACAACAAUUUAUGUCAUACUCAGAGCAGACUCACUGAAAUCAGUUGACUUAAGGUAGUCAUAACUUCAAUGGUUUCAUGAUUUCAAUGGGUCCACUCUGAGUAUGACUUAGUUGGAUACAACCCCCUCUAGGUAGAAAGCUAGCAUAUCUGAGAAAAGGGCUGUAGCAUAGCUUUCACUUUGAUAAGCUCAUUUUCUGUGGGCAAGGCUCUUUAAACUAUUACCUACCAUCACCAUUAAGUGGUAGAUCCAGGAAGGACUAUAUACCAUAUUUUUCCGUGUAUAAGACUAUAUUUCCCCGCAAUUUUUUUAAGUUUAAAAAUGGAGGUCGUCUUAUACACAGAUAGUGCAUAUGGGGGAUUUCUUUAUUUGGAGUCCUAAAAAAUAGGGGCUAUGUUAUACAUGGAGACGUGUUAUACACGGAAAAAUAUGGUAAGUUUUGAACAUAAAGUUCAGUGCUUACUCUUCCCCAAAUAUCACCACCUAAUAUUUAGAAGUAAAUGGCAGUAUGUCAUCAUAUGGUAUUAUCAUUUCCCUCAUCUGAACUAUGAAUGUGGACUGCAUUUACAGGAUUCCUUCCCCUGUCCUGAAGCAGUGGUUCCGUACUGAACUUGGUAGUGAAUUCUGUAGGAUCCAUUGAUUUUGCAAAUACACAUAUAAGAACAUAAGAAAAGCCCCACUGGAUCAGGCAAAAGACUCAUCUAGUCUUCCAUCCUAUUCUUACAGUGGCCAACCAGAUGCCUUUAGGAAGUGCCAAGCUGGACCUGAGUGGAACAGUGCUCCCCUCCCUUGGGAUUCUCAGUAACUGGUUUUUAGCGGCAUCCUUCCUCCCAAGGGUAGAGCUAGAACAAAGCCAUUGUGGCUAGUAGCCAUUGAGAAUCUUAUUUUCCAUGACUUUGUCUAAUCCUCUUUUUAAAGUUGGUGGCCAUCGCUACAUCUUGUGGGAGCAAAUUGCAUAGUACUUUCUUUUGGCAGAUCUGAAUUUUCCACUAUUCAGCUUCAGUAGAUGGCCUCAAGUUCUAGCAUUGUGUAAGAGAGGGUAGAAACUUCACAACACCAUGCAUCAUUUUAUCCAUUUCUAUCAUAUCCCCCCUCACUUAUUUGCUUUUUUAACAAACUAACACUGAUUAUUCUAAGUAACUAAAUAGUUUUAUGUGAUUUUAAAAGAACUGUAGAAAAGAACUGCAAAUUGCAAGAGGGUUCCCAACUUCUACAAUUGACUGGAUCAACCUCAUGCUGCCAACUAAUGAUGAAUGAGUGACGUUUAGGCCGAAUUAGUGCCUUGCAAUGCUCCACACAUCACAUUCUGAAUGAAUAAUGUGGCAAGAGGGGUGCCUUGUCAUUUCAAUCUGAUCAGCUCAGGUGGAUGUAGCCCACAUUUUAUAUUGUUUCUUUCUUCAGGUGUGUAUACACCUGUAUUCAGUAUUUGAUUUUUUAUUAUUAUUUGCAGGCUGAUGCUUGUGUUGGAAUAGCUAUCACAUCUGCUUAGGUUUCCCACAGUGCAUUAGUAUUUGGUUCUGCUGUCUGCUACUCAUAACUCCCCCAGCCAUAACGAAUCCCACUUUGACAAACCAAAACUUAGCAAAGAGUCCUGAUGGCAGGCUGACAGCACAGCAGAUGCAGAUGGCCCCUGUCUUUCCAACUACUUCAUUUUAUGAUUCAGCUCAACUAUAUCUUACUUGUCAUGAAUAAGACAGCCUAGCUGAGUGACAUUUCUGCUUGACUGGUAGUUAAUGACAAGGAGUCUCUGGUGGGAUGUUUUCUUUUCCUCAGGAUAUUCCAAGUUUCGCUAUGACUAAAGGGAGGCAAAAAACAAGGUUUUAAUUUAGGGUGUUGAUGAUGAUGUAAGCACAGCCAUCUGUACUAGUGAUAAUUGUGACACAUGGUUUCCGUGUUCUUUGAGGUAGUUUAUGGAGGAAGAUGCAAAACUGACAGGGAUAGGACAUUUGAUUGAUUUACCUCCAGAACAGAUAGCUUCUUGUGUUGUUUAAUUGUAGGGAGAAAUGAGGGACACUCUCAUUUCCACAGUAUCUAUAUGUAAGGAUGGAGAAAACUAUGCACUCUGAUUUUGAUUGUUUUGAAUGAUUGUUGGAUAUUUAUAUAUUUGUUCUUUUGGCAUUGUUACUUGUUGCUUUUGUAAUGUAUGACUGCAGAGUAGACGGCAGAUUUAAUACUUUGUCUAAUAGGCAAAGAACCACCAAAUAUAUUCAAUUUGAUGUUACUUUAGCGGUAUACAUAAGGGACAGGGAACCCUUGGCCUUGCAGAUGCUGUUGGGCACUAGUUCCAUCAACUCCUGCCAGCAUGGGCAAUGUCCAUGGGGUUGUAGUUCAGUGUUAUCUUACAGGGCAGAAGGUGUCUGUCUUUGGAAACUUAGAGUAGUGUAAUGGGCAUAGGGUGGUUAGAUGAAAAAGAAGAUGGUUCUCCUUCCUUGCUUGACAAACCAAUCGCUGCAUCCAGAACAGAAAGGAGGGCAAGGGCCAGGUAAAGUGUAUGGGAGGAUGGAAGUAUUUUUCUAUUAGUUCUGUUUGCUUCACAAAGGGCAGGAGCAAAUGGAGACAUCUACCUGUCCGAGCACAGAGGGAAUCCAUGAGCCCCAGAAAGCCAAAAAAUGGGGAAGCUUAAGACGUAUGAGUCUCCCUUGGUUGGAUAAGGAGAAAGCGCAAAUAAAGCAAGGUCAAAACUCUAACCCAGGAGUGAAAUAAACAAUUUUUCUGUAGCCCCUUCCUGAAAUGGUAAGAAUGAAGGCUCUUUAAAAGGGCUAAGACUAGAUCUUUAUGUUGUUUAGUUGUGGAUUAUUAGAGAGCAUUUUAAAAAGUGUUCUGUGUUCCACUUUUGCCUGAGGCAAAUGAGAAACCCAAGUUUCUGAGUUGCUUGUCACAUUUCUAAAACUUAUACUGUCAAAUUAGUUUCAGGUCAAGUAACAGUAUGAUGUGCCUCCCCUCUUCCCUAUUUUAAUAAAGGAUUAGGCUGAGAACUCUUAGUCCUAAAAUAAACUGCAUUUUUAUUUCUUUCAUCAUCUUCUUGAGAACACCAUCUAAUGUGAGCAUUGAUCCAUCCAAAAUGGUCUCCAACAUAGCAUGCACAUUUAUAUUGAUAUUGUGGAACAUGAACCUGCAUAAACACUCAACAAGUGAACCAGCUAAAUCUAAGACAAGUACAACGGCACAGUUAUUACUGCUUAUGACCCAUUUUCAGCCUCCUUCAUC
This 5747-nucleotide long non-coding RNA is filed under the name Podarcis lilfordi (Lilford's wall lizard). Lineage: Eukaryota; Metazoa; Chordata; Lepidosauria; Squamata; Lacertidae. The record is from RNAcentral.